UACGGAGGGUGCGAGCGUUGUCCGGAUUUAUUGGGUUUAAAGGGUGCGUAGGCGGUCCAUUAAGUCUGGGGUGGAAGCCCGCUGCUCAACAGCGGAACUGCCCUGGAUACUGGCGGACUUGAGUACAGACGAGGUUGGCGGAAUGGACGGAGUAGCGGUGAAAUGCAUAGAUACCGUCCAGAACCCCGAUUGCGAAGGCAGCUGACUAGGCUGUUACUGACGCUGAGGCACGAAAGCGUGGGGAGCGAACAGG
This 253-nucleotide ribosomal RNA is filed under the name uncultured bacterium. Its description in RNAcentral is "partial 16S ribosomal RNA". It matches the Rfam family "Bacterial small subunit ribosomal RNA", at positions 524 to 776 of the family's 1533-position model. The record is from RNAcentral.